Leopardus geoffroyi (Geoffroy's cat) is the source of this 565-nucleotide long non-coding RNA. RefSeq lists it as uncharacterized. The record is from RefSeq and is a predicted model, not a curated record. The transcript is spliced from 2 exons. NCBI's taxonomy places the organism in Eukaryota, Metazoa, Chordata, Mammalia, Carnivora, Felidae.
CACUGUACCUAGACAAUUUAGCCUGAGGGAUACACGUGACAGAAUCCUGAACUGUGUUCCUGAGGGAAAAAAUGUGAAGCUGUGUUUGUGUUCCAGUAUUUCAAGUGCUUAAACUUUCUUUGUGUUGCCAUGAGUAAUGCUUUUAAGGUAAUUCAGUCACAGUCACAAUGCAAGGAGGGAGAAAAUGUUGGAAGAAAACUGAUUUCUCCCUUUUUGUGCCUUCCAGAGAUUCUCACAGAUAGUAAGGGAAUAAGGGUUAGAGUUGUGGCACAACUGAAACAAAGGGAUGGCAAGAGUAGCUUUGGUAGCAAAGUCAGUGUCCUGUUACAGUCUGUGUCUGUACCUGUGACAGGGGUUCUUAUUUACCGUAAAUAAUCACGAGAGUCAUAAGAUAUUCAAGAGGACUGAAUACUUACAAGGAAGACUGAAUCAAGAUGACUAUUAUCUGGAUCAAGCUUUCUGUAAAGAACCAUAUGGGCUCUACAACUACUCCUCUUUGCCACAAGAAUACGAAAGUAAACAUAGACAAUAUUUGAAUAAAUGAACGUAGCUGUGUUGUAUAGAA